This 253-nucleotide ribosomal RNA is filed under the name uncultured bacterium. Its description in RNAcentral is "partial 16S ribosomal RNA". It matches the Rfam family "Bacterial small subunit ribosomal RNA", at positions 524 to 776 of the family's 1533-position model. The record is from RNAcentral.
UACGGAGGGGGCAAGCGUUACUCGGAAUUAUUGGGCGUAAAGGGCGCGUAGGCGGUCGUGCGCGUCGGAGGUGAAAUCCCCGGGCUUAACCCGGGAGCUGCCUCCGAUACGGCAUGGCUUGAGUCCGGGAGAGGGGAGCAGAAUUCCCAGUGUAGCGGUGAAAUGCGUAGAUAUCGGAAGGAACACCAGUGGCGAAAGCGGCUUCCUGGUCCGACACCGACGUUCAGGCACGAAAGCGUGGGGAGCAAACAGG